Long non-coding RNA from Betta splendens (Siamese fighting fish), 554 nucleotides. RefSeq lists it as uncharacterized. The transcript has 2 exons. Lineage: Eukaryota; Metazoa; Chordata; Actinopteri; Anabantiformes; Osphronemidae. The record is from RefSeq and is a predicted model, not a curated record.
UGGAAAGCACUGAGCUCCAGCUGCAAGGACAGCCCCCAUCCGUUCUGUGUGCGUCUGUCUUUAAAAACCCUCCUCCUGCACCAACGGACACCGGAUCACCUCAGACAGUGACGCAUGGCCUCAUCGGGCACGCGGGCCGCCCCGGGUCACCGUAGAUUUAAUCUGCUGAGCACCCCAUCGCUUACAGAGUCUGUGACCUGAGAUUGUCUUAUCCAGAGAUGGGCCUUGAGAGGGAGAAGCCGGGCCCUGUCCUCAGACGAACCAGAAGCUCCCCGUCAUCAGUCACGCUCCUGUAAACUCGCUGCAAGAAAGCAACACAACAACAUGGAGUUCAGUCACAAGUGGAGCCGGUCCCUUCCUUUGUGUGCAGCUGUGUUUUCUCCUCCGUCAUCCUCCCUCUCCUCACCGUUUCUCACCCUCCCUCCUGUCUGGAUGUCUCACCCCCUCCCCCCACUGAAUGCCUCUGUAAUUCCUAUUCUUAUCUGCUCGUCAGCUCCAGGAAAAGAGCUUCUUUACUUAUGUGCUCGUCUUCUCCAUGGGGGAAAGAGGAGACA